CUACGGGACGCUGCAGUGAGGAAUAUUGCACAAUGGGGGGAACCCUGAUGCAGCAACGCCGCGUGGAGGAUGACGCAUUUCGGUGUGUAAACUCCUUUUAUAUGUCAAGAAAAUGACGGUAGCAUAUGAAUAAGCGCCGGCUAACUCCGUGCCAGCAGCCGCGGUAAUACGGAGGGCGCAAGCGUUACUCGGAAUCACUGGGCGUAAAGGACGCGUAGGCGGGUUGAAAAGUCAGGUGUGAAAGCCUACAGCUUAACUGUAGAACUGCACUUGAAACUCUCAACCUAGAGUAUGGGAGGGGCAGAUGGAAUUAGUGGUGUAGGGGUAAAAUCCGUAGAUAUCACUAGGAAUACCUAAAGCGAAGGCGAUCUGCUGGAACAUUACUGACGCUAAGGCGUGAAAGCGUGGGGAGCAAACAGGAUUAGAUACCCCGGUAGUC
RNAcentral lists this ribosomal RNA (439 nucleotides) under uncultured bacterium. RNAcentral describes it as "partial 16S ribosomal RNA". It matches the Rfam family "Bacterial small subunit ribosomal RNA", at positions 339 to 795 of the family's 1533-position model. The record is from RNAcentral.